Molecule: long non-coding RNA, 838 nt
Organism: Lepus europaeus (European hare)
Lineage: Eukaryota; Metazoa; Chordata; Mammalia; Lagomorpha; Leporidae
Exons: 2
Source: RefSeq, a predicted model, not a curated record
CCGGGGCCGGCCGGGGGCGCGAGGGUGGCCGCGGCCGCCCCCGAAGUUGGUCCGGAGCCGGUUUCGGUCCCGCGCCGGAUCGCAGGGAGCCGGUGGUACACUUCCCGGGACAGCCUCCCCGAAGUCACCAAGCCCAGGGCAGCCCCAGGUGUUGUGAUCUUCAGCCAGCGGAACCAGACCCCUGGGUCAGCCCCCAGGACUUCUCACAGAAGACAGCGACAGCCCUGGCUCAGCACUGGCCAUGCCUCCCAGAGGCCAGCUCUGCCCAUGUCCCUGGGCCGCCUUGAAAUCUUGGAGUGAGCCCACAGCAGCGUCCAGUUCUGUGGGGCCAGCAUGCCUGUGGCAGGGCCGUGUCCUCUCUCCUGGCUGGAGUGUGGCACCAGGGAGAGGCAGGCGUGGUGCAGGCUUUACACCGACUUGCACUGGCCCUGGAGGGGCCCAGCGGGCUUGGCAUGGGCCAGGGCCCACAGGGGAGCGGAGGCUGCGUGCGGGCUCUGGGCGAGAGUCUGCAGAGCCGACAUGCUGCCGGGCAGUGACUCACCGUGGGUGACCCUCGGGAAACCCGGGUGUGCUGGGCGUGGGCGGGCAUGCAGAGGCCAGUGGGGCGCCGGCACAGCUGGCUCUGCACUCUGGCUGCACUGUCCUGGGCAGGGGAGGGUGGCAGUGACCGUGUGCCUCCUACUGACACCCCAGCAUCACAUGGGAGGGGCCUGGCUGUGGUCCUGCCGGGCCGCAGACUGGACGUUUGUGUGGGGGAGCGGGAGGCUUGGCCCCCCACUGUAGCAGCUUACACCCCCGUGUGCAAUGUAAACUCAGAAAGUAAACUCUGCAACUCACA